Molecule: ribosomal RNA, 399 nt
Filed under: uncultured bacterium
Lineage: Bacteria
Description: bacterial SSU rRNA
Rfam family: Bacterial small subunit ribosomal RNA
Source: RNAcentral
GAACGCCCGUAGCAAUACGGGAGUGGCAGACGGGAGAGUAACACGUGGGAACGUGCCCUUCAGUUCGGAACAACCCAGGGAAACUUGGGCUAAUACCGGAUACGUCCGUAAGGAGAAAGAUUUAUCGCUGAAGGAUCGGCCCGCGUCUGAUUAGCUUGUUGGUGAGGUAACGGCUCACCAAGGCGACGAUCAGUAGCUGGUCUGAGAGGAUGAUCAGCCUCACUGGGACUGAGACACGGCCCAGACUCCUACGGGAGGCAGCAGUGGGGAAUAUUGGACAAUGGGCGCAAGCCUGAUCCAGCCAUGCCGCGUGGGUGAUGAAGGCCUUAGGGUUGUAAAGCCCUUUCGGCGGGGAAGAUAAUGACGGUACCCGCAGAAGAAGCCCCGGCUAACUUCGUG